RNAcentral lists this ribosomal RNA (253 nucleotides) under uncultured bacterium. RNAcentral's name for it is "partial 16S ribosomal RNA". It matches the Rfam family "Bacterial small subunit ribosomal RNA", at positions 524 to 776 of the family's 1533-position model. The record is from RNAcentral.
UACGUAGGCAGCGAGCGUUGUUCGGAAUUACUGGGCGUAAAGAGUGUGUAGGCGGUGUUCCAAGUCUGGUGUGAAAUCUCCCGGCUCAACUGGGAGGGUGCGCCGAAUACUGAGUGACUCGAGUGCGGGAGAGGAGAGUGGAAUUCCUGGUGUAGCGGUGAAAUGCGUAGAUAUCAGGAGGAACACCGGUGGUGUAGACGGCUCUCUGGACCGUAACUGACGCUGAGACACGAAAGCGUGGGUAGCAAACAGG